This 301-nucleotide ribosomal RNA is filed under the name uncultured bacterium. RNAcentral's name for it is "partial 16S ribosomal RNA". It matches the Rfam family "Bacterial small subunit ribosomal RNA", at positions 509 to 807 of the family's 1533-position model. The record is from RNAcentral.
CAGCAGCCGCGGGAAUACAGAGGGUGCAAGCGUUAAUCGGAAUUACUGGGCGUAAAGCGCGCGUAGGUGGUUUGUUAAGUUGGAUGUGAAAUCCCCGGGCUCAACCUGGGAACUGCAUCCAAAACUGGCAAGCUAGAGUAUGGUAGAGGGUGGUGGAAUUUCUUGUGUAGCGGUGAAAUGCGUAGAUAUAGGAAGGAACACCAGUGGCGAAGGCGACCACCUGGACUGAUACUGACACUGAGGUGCGAAAGCGUGGGGAGCAAACAGGAUUAGAUACCCCCGUAGUCCCUGUCUCUUAUAC